Molecule: unclassified non-coding RNA, 266 nt
Filed under: fungal sp.
Lineage: Eukaryota; Fungi
Description: partial internal transcribed spacer region
Rfam family: Eukaryotic small subunit ribosomal RNA (bases 1-46)
Source: RNAcentral
AAGUCGUAACAAGGUUUCCGUAGGUGAACCUGCGGAAGGAUCAUUAUUGAAUGAACAUGGAGUUUGGUUGUUGCUGGCCUCUUUAUUGGGGCAUGUGCACACCUUCCUCUAUUCAUCCACACACACCUGUGAACUUGUGAGACGGAUAGUAGCCCUCUAGGGGGCGAGGUCCGUCUGCUAUACAUAAACUCCAGUAUAUAAAUUCGAAUGUCAUUUGAUGUAACACAUCUAUAAACUAAGUUUCAACAACGGAUCUCUUGGCUCUC